ACACUUUUACAAGUUCAGAAGAAAUUAACAUUUCAGAAAACAAAUUAACAUUUCAGAAAACAAAUUAACAUCACUCGAAACACUUUUACAAGUGGCAAAAUCAACCGGAAAGGGUAGGUACUAAUUCCAAGGCUGACCCGGAAGUGAUAACGGAAGCGGGCAUUUCAACCCAAGAUGGACAGCAGUUCAGUGGCGUUUUGCCCGUUUUGCGGGGCACAUAUGAGUAGAUUAACGCGGUUUUGUUUUUCUUGUGGACGGUCCUUAGAGUUUUUAAAUGGGACAGAACAGACGGAAGGUCCAGAGGCACAGGGGAUAUGUCAACAGCCGGAUAAUGCUAAACAAACAGAAAAACCUUGCCCGUCAUAUAAACAGUUCCUGGAAUACCGAAGCUCGAAGUCCAAAGAGCGUCAGUCUUUUAACUACGGGCCUAGAGGAAGACACCGGGCUAAAGAACAAAAACACGUCCAGGUUUUUGAACUCCCAAAGAUAAGUCUGAAAAUGAAAGAGAUGCACUGGGACAUCAAGCUACAAUUCAGCCAGGACAGGUAAUGUCAUUUUCAGACGUUCAUCAUAUUCUGAAAACUGUGACAUGCUGGUCAGAUUUACCGAUGAUGCAGGUGUUUAUGAGGAAGGGAUUGACACAGGUGGUCCAAGAUGAGAAUUUUUUAACUCUGCUAAUGAAGCACCUGAAAGACCGGCCAAUUUUUGAUGGACCAGAGGGACAUCGGUUCUUGGUCUAUAAUGCAAAUGCUGUUAGGGAGGAUGAAUACUUCCUGGCAGGACAGAUGAUUGCAGUUUCAGUUGUACAUGGAGGUCCGGGACCCCAUUUCCUGUCAGAAGAUCUUGUACAGUAUCUUGCUGGCCAGCCUUCAUUCAAACCAACAGUUAAUUUAAUAACUGAUGAAGAAAUAGGGAAAGCUUUGCGAGAGAUUGAGAAUGCUGCUACAUUGGAUGCUCUACAAGAAUGUAUCAUGAGACACAGCACAAUGUUGCAGACAGCAGGCUGUCUUAGACAUGUGGCUGCUGUGGACGAAAAGACAGAAAUUGUGGCCAACUACCUCCAGUGGUAUAUUUUUGACCGCAACUCAUCUGUAAUUGACAGUGUGUUCACUUUGUAGAUUCAAAGAUGGUCUUUCAGCUCUUCAGUUCCUGACUGCACUACAGCAACACCCUACUUUGCUGACCCCUGUCCUGUGCCACUGUGAAAAGCGACUGACUGCCUUUGAGCUUGAGAGACUCUUCAAACCUCAACUCAGCCCUUCAGGGAGUAAUAGGAGACUGAAAGAAAGCCAAACCUUGGCCUGCUGGGCAGACUAUCUCCUUGAUUGUGAAGAAGGCGAGGCUGCUGUGUCUGUGGAAGACAUUUUGAUGUUUGCAACUGGGCUGACAUCACUUCCCCCAUCUGGCUUGGAACCACUGCCACAAAUAGAGUUCCUGGAUGACGUUCCACUCCCAAUGGCAAAUACAUGUUCAAACUUGUUGAAAUUACCAUUUCUGGAUUCAUAUAGUGUGUUUAAGUCACAAAUGGACUUUGGAAUUCAAAAUAGUCCAGGAUUUGGUUGUCUAUAAACUAUAUAGCUAGAUAACCAUUAGAGUAGUGUUUUUCAAACCUGGUCAUCCAGGCACAAUGCCCUGCACGUUUUAGAUCAGAGAUCCUAAUCCUGAAUAACUGAUUAACAGGCUUUUUUUUUUUUUUUUAAACUGCAAUCAUCUGAAUCAGGUAUGUUAAAGCAGGAAAACUUGGACUCAAAAUGUUUUUUGUUCUUUGUUGGUAUUAUGUGCAUUUAAAGGUGCAGUUACUUUUGUUAAAAUACUUUAAAAUUGCGGUAAGCAAGCAUGUCUUUUUUUCCCCUCAGACAGCAUUUGGACAAUUGUUUUUCAUUCAUUUAUUUCCAAAUUUUAAAUACUGAAACUGUGGGUGACAAGUUGUGUACAUGUUCCACCAUCAUUACAAUAAACUUCCCUUCAAUUCA
This is an RNA transcript of Archocentrus centrarchus (flier cichlid), 1973 nucleotides long. It is a transcript of the gene named G2/M phase-specific E3 ubiquitin-protein ligase-like, with no coding region annotated. The record is from RefSeq and is a predicted model, not a curated record. The transcript has 8 exons. Lineage: Eukaryota; Metazoa; Chordata; Actinopteri; Cichliformes; Cichlidae.